GACGAACGCUGGCGGCGAGCUUAACACAUGCAAGUCGAACGGAAAGGCCCUGCUUGCAGGGUACUCGAGUGGCGAACGGGUGAGUAACACGUGGGUGAUCUGCCCUGCACUUCGGGAUAAGCCUGGGAAACUGGGUCUAAUACCGGAUAGGAGCCAUUUUUAGUGUGAUGGUUGGAAAGUUUUUUCGGUGUAGGAUGAGCUCGCGGCCUAUCAGCUUGUUGGUGGGGUAAUGGCCUACCAAGGCGGCGACGGGUAGCCGGCCUGAGAGGGUGGACGGCCACAUUGGGACUGAGAUACGGCCCAGACUCCUACGGGAGGCAGCAGUGGGGAAUAUUGCACAAUGGGCGCAAGCCUGAUGCAGCGACGCCGCGUGGGGGAUGACGGCCUUCGGGUUGUAAACUCCUUUCGCUAGAGACGAAGCUUUUUGUGACGGUACCUAGAUAAGAAGCACCGGCUAACUACGUG
Molecule: ribosomal RNA, 465 nt
Filed under: uncultured bacterium
Lineage: Bacteria
Description: partial 16S ribosomal RNA
Rfam family: Bacterial small subunit ribosomal RNA
Source: RNAcentral